RNAcentral lists this ribosomal RNA (494 nucleotides) under uncultured bacterium. RNAcentral's name for it is "partial 16S ribosomal RNA". It matches the Rfam family "Bacterial small subunit ribosomal RNA", at positions 28 to 507 of the family's 1533-position model. The record is from RNAcentral.
GACGAACGCUGGCGGCGUGCUUAACACAUGCAAGUCGAACGGUGAAGCGCCUUCCUUUUUGGAGGGUGUGGAUGAGUGGCGAACGGGUGAGUAACACGUGAGUAACCUGCCCCCUUCUUCUGGAUAACCGCAUGAAAGUGUGGCUAAUACGGGAUAUUCUGGGUCUGUCGCAUGAUGGGUCUGGGAAAGAUAUUGUUUCGGUGGGGGAUGGGCUCGCGGCCUAUCAGCUUGUUGGUGGGGUGAUGGCCUACCAAGGCGGUGACGGGUAGCCGGCCUGAGAGGGUGUACGGUCACACUGGGACUGAGACACGGCCCAGACUCCUACGGGAGGCAGCAGUGGGGAAUAUUGCACAAUGGGCGCAAGCCUGAUGCAGCGACGCCGCGUGAGGGAUGGAGGCCUUCGGGUUGUGAACCUCUUUCGCCAGUGAAGCAGGCCUGCCUCGUUUGUGGGUGGGUUGACGGUAGCUGGAUAAGAAGCGCCGGCUAACUACGUG